GUGGGGGAGGCGGAAUAGAGGAGACACGAGGGAGGAGAGGGUGCAGCUGUGGGAGCUCGGGCGUGGGGGAGACGGAACAGAGGAGUGGCGAGGGAGGAGAGUUUGCAGUGCGGUAGCUACGCAGCAGUCCCUGUGGCAGCUGUGCAGCCCCUAUGCGGCGUUACCUCGAGUCUAUUCUCGUCCCGUCGCCUAACCUAGCUCCCGUGGGCUACUGGAGCGGCGGCGACAGUGGACCUAAACGAUCGGUGGCGCACCUCAGAGGGACCGGCGGCGGAGCUCAGUGGAGGCAGUGGCGGCGCUCAGUCGAGGUGAAAACGACGGUCCUUAGAGCAGGGGCCGUUCCUUUUAAGGAUCCCUAAACUGACUGCCUCCGUAGUCAUAGACCGUAACAGGUUCUUCGGUAACCACCCCAACCUAGUCGAUCCAGCAUCUGGAGACUAACGAAUCCGGGGUACCGUCGUCGGCCUAACCCCGCCGCCACCUACCGGUACCUCCCACACCCACGUACGCCCGCCUUGGUUGUACCCAACCACCUCAUUGCCUACGCCCGUCCCAGUCGCCAAUCCCCGUGACGCUCCUCACCUUCCGUCGCCAGUACGUGGUCUAGCCUCGACGUCAUCGUUACUCGACGACCACAAAGUCCAAACGGAGUUACCGGAAGUCGAGGUCGGGGCUGGGCCUAUCACGGUACCUAGGUCGUUCCACCAGGUGCGACUCCUUCUCCUUUUGUUGCUCCCUUCUUCGGCCACAAGAAUACCAAAUAAGAGGACAGCUAAAGGGGAGAACGGAACAGACUAAAACACCACUUUUCUUACCACCUAAAGAAACGACCCACCAGAUUAAACCCCAACUAAAUACGGGAGUUAAGGAAGGAAAAGACCAAGGAAAGGCCGAACGAUAAGUACAGCAAGGUUACCGACCUUCUUUCCCCUGUGUUAUAUCGAACAAUGUUUAGUAAAGUUUUAAAGGAACUUUCUGUGGUAUCUACUCAAGAAAGUAGUAAUAAAACAUACCUAGAUAGAAACAAAUGAAACAAAAAAUCAAGGUACACAUUGGUAGUCUACGAAAACGAGAAAAUAAAUUAACUUACGUGCAUAUAGACUACAUAAUCCUGCUCUCCGGUCACCUACCUUUUCCGCAACGGACCAGACUAAAACACCACUUUUGUUACCACCUAAAGAGACGACCCACCAGAUUAAACCCAAACUAAAUACGGGAGCUAAGGAAGGAAAAUACCAAGGAAAGACCGAACGAUAAGUACAAGAACGUUACCGACCUUCUUUCUCCUGUGUUAUGUCGAACAAUGUUUAGUAAGGUUUCAAAGGAACUUUCUGUGGUAUCUACUCAAGAAAGUAGUAAUAAAACAUACCUAGAUAGGAACAAAUGAAACAAAAAAUCAAGGGACACAUUGGUAGUCUACGGUAACGAGAAAAUAAAUUAACUUACGUCCAUAUAUCCUCCAUAAUCCUACUCUCCAGUCACCUACCUUUUCCGCAACCAUGUUUUCAGUAACCGUUUGAUAUUAUCCGAAUACGUAGACUCUAAGGAUACUACCGCUUUUUCACUGUUCUGUAACUUACACCUUGUAAUGUCUCUUUACUAACUGUCAAACUGUCUUCAUAAUAUACUCAAAGCCUGCUGUUCCAGCGCAUACCUCAUGAAAGUGACAAUUCAAAGGUAACGGGUCGAGGACUUCAGACAAUAACGGCAAUAGAAGAACCCUCAUGAACUCUUCCGCACCGACCCUUACACCCCUGUGCGGUACCGUCUCCGCGCACCAACCGUCCUCCUCAGUCCCUCCGUACUUCCACCUGUACACCUACAAUAGCACCGUAACUGUGUAAAGAGAGGUGGCUACGAUGUAUGGUCCCUAAGCAACCUUCGGUGUGUCCCGUGGACUCUUCCUCUCCUCCUCUUACGAGACUUCUCUCCUCUACUAUUCAAAAUAACAAAACAAAAUUCUCGUUCCCUCAACUAUACAUCAGGGGACCGAAUAAACAUAAGAUGAUACACAUACCGGUUUCUUAAGUACUAAAAUAUGUGUGUAUAUAAAAAUUUGUUUUCGGAUAUAUAAAAAACGAGUUUGUAUCAGUGGCCUUCGCGUGUAUAAAAGUUACGCA
RNAcentral lists this ribosomal RNA (2120 nucleotides) under Triticum aestivum (bread wheat). Its description in RNAcentral is "partial small subunit ribosomal RNA". Lineage: Eukaryota; Viridiplantae; Streptophyta; Magnoliopsida; Poales; Poaceae. The record is from RNAcentral.